RNAcentral lists this ribosomal RNA (494 nucleotides) under uncultured bacterium. RNAcentral describes it as "partial 16S ribosomal RNA". It matches the Rfam family "Bacterial small subunit ribosomal RNA", at positions 28 to 507 of the family's 1533-position model. The record is from RNAcentral.
GACGAACGCUGGCGGCGUGCUUAACACAUGCAAGUCGAACGGUGAAGCGCCUUCCUUUUUGGUGGGUGUGGAUGUGUGGCGAACGGGUGAGUAACACGUGAGUAACCUGCCCCCUUCUUCUGGAUAACCGCAUGAAAGUGUGGCUAAUACGGGAUAUUCUGGUUCUGUCGCAUGAUGGGUCUGGGAAAGAUAUUGUUUCGGUGGGGGAUGGGCUCGCGGCCUAUCAGCUUGUUGGUGGGGUGAUGGCCUACCAAGGCGGUGACGGGUAGCCGGCCUGAGAGGGUGGACGGUCACACUGGGACUGAGACACGGACCAGACUGCUACGGGAGGCAGCAGUGGGGAAUAUUGCACAAUGGGCGAAAGCCUGAUGCAGCGACGCCGCGGGAGGGAUGGAGGCCUUCGGGUUGUGAACCUCUUUCGCCAGUGAAGCAGGCCUGCCUCGUUUGUGGGUGGGUUGACGGUAGCUGGAUAAGAAGCGCCGGCUAACUACGUG